CCUACGGGAGGCUGCAGUGAGGAAUAUUGGUCAAUGGGCGCGAGCCUGAACCAGCCAAGUAGCGUGAAGGAUGACUGCCCUACGGGUUGUAAACUUCUUUUAUAAGGGAAUAAAGUGAGGCACGUGUGCCUUUUUGUAUGUACUUUAUGAAUAAGGAUCGGCUAACUCCGUGCCAGCAGCCGCGGUAAUACGGAGGAUCCGGGCGUUAUCCGGAUUUAUUGGGUUUAAAGGGAGCGUAGAUGGGUUGUUAAGCAAGUUGUGAAAGGUUGCGGCUCAACCGUAAAAUUGCAAUUGAUACUGGCAGCCUUGAGUCCAGUUGAGGCAGGCGGAAUUCGUGGUGUAGCGGUGAAAUGCUUAGAUAUCACGAAGAACCCCGAUUGCGAAGGCAGCUUACUAAAGCGCCACUGACAUUGAUGCUCGAAAGUGCGGGUAUCAAACAGGAUUAGAUACCCUUGUAGUC
RNAcentral lists this ribosomal RNA (460 nucleotides) under uncultured bacterium. RNAcentral's name for it is "partial 16S ribosomal RNA". It matches the Rfam family "Bacterial small subunit ribosomal RNA", at positions 338 to 795 of the family's 1533-position model. The record is from RNAcentral.